UACGUAGGGUGCAAGCGUUGUCCGGAAUUAUUGGGCGUAAAGAGCUCGUAGGCGGUCUGUCGCGUCGAAUGUGAAAACCCGGGGCUCAACCCCGGGCCUGCAUUCGAUACGGGCAGACUAGAGUUCGGUAGGGGAGUCUGGAAUUCCUGGUGUAGCGGUGAAAUGCGCAGACAUCAGGAGGAACACCGGUGGCGAAGGCGGGUCUCUGGGCCGAUACUGACGCUGAGGCGCGAAAGCGUGGGGAGCAAACAGG
RNAcentral lists this ribosomal RNA (253 nucleotides) under uncultured bacterium. Its description in RNAcentral is "partial 16S ribosomal RNA". It matches the Rfam family "Bacterial small subunit ribosomal RNA", at positions 524 to 776 of the family's 1533-position model. The record is from RNAcentral.